RNAcentral lists this unclassified non-coding RNA (301 nucleotides) under Hevea brasiliensis (rubber tree). Lineage: Eukaryota; Viridiplantae; Streptophyta; Magnoliopsida; Malpighiales; Euphorbiaceae. The record is from RNAcentral.
GUCAUUCACGUUGUAAAGUAGUUUCAGAUAUUUCCUCAAAAACAUAGAUUUAUACAUACAUACGUGAAAAUGGUGUUCAUGGGUUGGUUUAUUUUGGUUGGUAAACAUCGCUGCAUAUUUAUCUGGUCGCUAGGGAGAAUGCCAUUGAUGAUCAUGGUGGGUGAGGAGUAUUCCAACGAUUUAUGGUGCUUUAUAUGUGGAAUUAAAUCAUUUGCUUUUUGAAUUGUCCACAAAAAUAGUAUAUAGCUUGUCAAAUGGUUUAUGUGGCAUAAGCUGGAACUUAAUGCGCAUUAUGGACCGG